This is a long non-coding RNA of Thalassophryne amazonica, 148 nucleotides long. RefSeq lists it as uncharacterized. The record is from RefSeq and is a predicted model, not a curated record. Lineage: Eukaryota; Metazoa; Chordata; Actinopteri; Batrachoidiformes; Batrachoididae. The transcript has 3 exons.
GCAUCUCAGCACAUUACCACAAAGGCUAAAACAUGGUUUCCCUGGUGCUACAUGGCAGGUCUGAGAAAGUGUCACAAGAGACACAAGACACAGUUAUUCUGCUGAAAAAGUGGUGAUACUGGCUGUCAAAGAAAUCGGAAAGAGCACA